Molecule: ribosomal RNA, 747 nt
Filed under: cyanobacterium enrichment culture clone 2_4_2.2.7_C04-T7
Lineage: Bacteria; Bacillati; Cyanobacteriota
Description: bacterial SSU rRNA
Rfam family: Bacterial small subunit ribosomal RNA
Source: RNAcentral
AGAGUUUGAUCCUGGCUCAGGAUGAACGCUGGCGGUAUGCUUAACACAUGCAAGUCGAACGGUCCUUUCGGGGAUAGUGGCGGACGGGUGAGUAACGCGUGAGAAUCUGCCUUCAGGACGGGGACAACAGCUGGAAACGGCUGCUAAAACCCGAUGUGCCUACGGGUGAAAUAUUUAUAGCCUGAAGAGGAGCUCGCGUCUGAUUAGCUAGUUGGUAGGGUAACGGCUUACCAAGGCGACGAUCAGUAACUGGUCUGAGAGGAUGACCAGUCACACUGGGACUGAGACACGGCCCAGACUCCUACGGGAGGCAGCAGUGGGGAAUUUUCCGCAAUGGGCGCAAGCCUGACGGAGCAAUACCGCGUGAGGGAGGAAGGCUCUUGGGUCGUAAACCUCUUUUAUCAGGGAAGAACACAAUGACGGUACCUGAUGAAUCAGCAUCGGCUAACUCCGUGCCAGCAGCCGCGGUAAUACGGAGGAUGCAAGCGUUAUCCGGAAUUAUUGGGCGUAAAGCGUCCGCAGGUGGUUUUGAAAGUUUGCUGUUAAAGCGCGAGGCUCAACUUCGUAACGGCGGUGAAAACUUCAAGACUAGAGUUUGGUAGGGGUCACGGGAAUUCCCAGUGUAGCGGUGAAAUGCGUAGAUAUUGGGAAGAACACCAGCGGCGAAAGCGCGUGACUGGGCCUGAACUGACACUCAUGGACGAAAGCUAGGGGAGCGAAAGGGAUUAGAUACCCCUGUAGUCCUAG